GGCAAACGUUUGGCAGAGUAAUUACACGCCGCACUGCUCUGGGAGUGAUUAGUGAUAGUUGUCUGUUCAAAGUGUUUGGAGCUCACAGCCUUUAUGGGCUAUGCUUGCCUUCCCCUCCGCCUAAUGUUCAGUUUGCAUUUGCAUCCGGAAGAGAGUUGCAUGUGUCAACAUAAACAGUGCGCCCUCCGGAGCUCGCCGAGUGUGCACUUGCUUGAGUUUCACCGAUGCCCGAAAUACAUUCGACUUUAAUAUCCAGGGGGGAGAUUAUCACAUUAUUGUGCAUAUUUCACGACUGAUCUAUUACGCUUUUGUUAACCCUGACACGUGAGUUAGCCAGGAUCUUAUUAUAAAUUUGCAUCGCAAAAAAGCAUGUGCUCUUAACGUGUUUUGAAACAAACGUGUGUAUUUAAAAGCACUUCAAGCUGUAUCACUGGGCCUGGCUAUGCUCAUAGUCGGCCCAUUGCGCAAAUGACACGAUAUAAUGCCUCCCUCGCCUAAAAUCCACAAAAGUCCCCUCCACUCCCAGGUCAGAUGACACGGAGAUGCAUCACAAUCAACGUGCUCAGGUGGUGCGGCGGCGGCGGCUGCCAGCCUUUGAUGUCCCCGCUGUGUUUGUGUUGGCCAGCCACGCUGUCCCGGCACAACCCGCAGAUGUGCCUGCAAGCUGCAAGGCAUGGGAGAGGGAACUUAAUACCGCAGCACUGGGAGAUGGAGAAUGUGACUGGGCACGCGUGGAAUGCUGAGUAGCAGGAGGAAAACAGCAAUCUAAAUUUCUAAUGCCGAGGAUGUUUCCCAUUCUGCGUUUAUGAAACAUGGCUGCCGGGACUACAAAGUGCAGCAGGCCCCGAAUCAACCCUGCGGUCCCAUUCCUCGCUCCCCGCCAUGGCUGCGAGUGGGAGGCAGAACACGACCUGCCAAAGUGGCCGCGGAGGAAGGGAGGAGAGGUGACGUUGUGGAGGAGAAUCCCUCAAUCGGGGAACAAAAGAACACGAAAAGCGGGCGAGCCGAGGUGUCCGCGGCAGGGGCGGGAAGUGGCUGUUGACCCGAGUGCGGCGACCGAGGCAGAGACUGCAUGUCUGAUGGCGGCGAGGCAGCGUAUCGCUUACAGGCUCCCUCAGCAGAAGCCCCCCGCAUGUCCGUCUCCAGCCACAGAGUUUGCCCUCUACUUAAGGCAACAAGAGUCGGGCUCAGCAUUACAAGCCUAUUAAAAGAUACUUUUAAUUAUGCCCCCCCCCCUCUCCCGGGAUCGCUUCUUUGAUGAACUCUGUGUUUCUUUGGCAUGUGCACUUAGGAAUGGCACAACCAGAAGCACGUGUUGUUUUCUCCCUCCAAUUAAAGGGCAUGUUGACAGAUUAAGGCUGCUUCUGGUUUGUGCUCCACUAACGCAUUUAGGGAAGAUGAUGAACAAGGGGAGGGGGGGUCUCACAGAGAGUCAGAGAGAGAGAGUGAGGCUGAUAGAAGGAAGAGAAAAAUAGAAAAGAAAAAAAAAACAUGCACAUGAACCCUGAGGGAUUAAUGUGUUUACAUUACCUGGGCUGUGAUCUAUCACCAACCUCGUCAACUUCUAUUAUGCAUCACAUACAUAAGCGAGCAACAGACCUGGGAGCCCUUGCAACUCACUCAUACUAUUUCAAUUGGAUUAAGUCAGUGCAAAUAUCUAGGGCACGGCUCCCACACUGUGGUUUUAGCAUUCUGGUAGUCAUUUGAUUUGUACGUUGUAUCACUUUACCUCGUCGAAGGCGUUUGCCGGAGAACCUCCUACGUGCCUCCUGAGCUUUUGAGUUGUAUGGGAUUUAGAUGAUUACCAUAUGGCACCUAUAUAGCACCUUCGAAAACCAACAUGAAAUCAUCCGAAAGGUCUGGUUUGACAACAGUCGGGCAUGGAAGCCCUCGGAUUCAUGAACCAGAAUAUACAGGUACACACCAGUGAGAGGAAUAAGGGAAUGUUAACGGUGUAGAUUCACCAUCAGCGAUGUUCUCCAACGUGAGGUUUACGUUGUCCCAGCUGUAGCAGCAGAUCUGUAUUGUGUGUAAAACACCCGGUUGGAGAGGUCUGGCCUCAGUGUGUUAGUGCUAACAGUGGAGGCUGCAGCAGGGGGCCCGGAAGGGCUCAUACUCACACCCAGGCUUCAUUAUAUCCAAUCAAUAUUCAUUUAGUCACUGAGCCUAUUGACUCGUUUCUGAAGUAAUAUUACAGGUCAUUUGUCUUGUCACGGCACAAGGAGAAUUAUCCAUUUUUAUACCACUUGGAAAAUGGGGCCGAGUCUGGAAAUGCUCUGUGGAUACAACUGUAAAUAAAUAUUUUUUGAUAAAACACUGAAGGAAAAAAUCAAUGGGUGCUUCCUGUGAUCCAUCUCGGCCGAAUCAAUCAUCAUCUGCGCAGCUGGCAGUGUGCUGCGGGAGGACGGCGAGUCGGCGAGAGGAGGCUGCAAUCUCUGUCUGAUACCUCUCAUUUUGGAAUCGCUUCUCAUAAUAGGGUCAUCAUUU
This is a long non-coding RNA of Scophthalmus maximus (turbot), 2487 nucleotides long. The record is from Ensembl. NCBI's taxonomy places the organism in Eukaryota, Metazoa, Chordata, Actinopteri, Pleuronectiformes, Scophthalmidae.